RNAcentral lists this ribosomal RNA (497 nucleotides) under uncultured bacterium. RNAcentral's name for it is "partial 16S ribosomal RNA". It matches the Rfam family "Bacterial small subunit ribosomal RNA", at positions 28 to 507 of the family's 1533-position model. The record is from RNAcentral.
GAUGAACGCUGGCGGCGUGCCUAAUACAUGCAAGUCGAGCGAACUGACGAGAAGCUUGCUUCUCUGAUGUUAGCGGCGGACGGGUGAGUAACACGUGGAUAACCUACCUAUAAGACUGGGAUAACUUCGGGAAACCGGAGCUAAUACCGGAUAAUAUUUUGAACCGCAUGGUUCAAAAGUGAAAGACGGUCUUGCUGUCACUUAUAGAUGGAUCCGCGCUGCAUUAGCUAGUUGGUAAGGUAACGGCUUACCAAGGCAACGAUGCAUAGCCGACCUGAGAGGGUGAUCGGCCACACUGGAACUGAGACACGGACCAGACUCCUACGGGAGGCAGCAGUAGGGAAUCUUCCGCAAUGGGCGAAAGCCUGACGGAGCAACGCCGCGUGAGUGAUGAAGGUCUUCGGAUCGUAAAACUCUGUUAUUAGGGAAGAACAUAUAUGUAAGUAACUGUGCACAUCUUGACGGUGCCUAAUCAGAAAGCCACGGCUAACUACGUG